Molecule: small nuclear RNA, 20 nt
Filed under: Arabidopsis thaliana (thale cress)
Lineage: Eukaryota; Viridiplantae; Streptophyta; Magnoliopsida; Brassicales; Brassicaceae
Description: snRNA_11893
Source: RNAcentral
GCACGCGCCUAACGGCGUGC